Molecule: transfer RNA, 28 nt
Filed under: Corallorhiza odontorhiza
Lineage: Eukaryota; Viridiplantae; Streptophyta; Magnoliopsida; Asparagales; Orchidaceae
Description: partial tRNA-Phe
Source: RNAcentral
GUGGGGAUAGGUGAGUGGUAGAGGGAGA